RNAcentral lists this ribosomal RNA (253 nucleotides) under uncultured bacterium. RNAcentral's name for it is "partial 16S ribosomal RNA". It matches the Rfam family "Bacterial small subunit ribosomal RNA", at positions 524 to 776 of the family's 1533-position model. The record is from RNAcentral.
GACGGAGGGGGCAAGCGUUGUUCGGAAUUAUUGGGCGUAAAGGGCUCGUAGGCGGACGUGUGUGUCUGGCGUGAAAUCUCCACUGCUUAACAGGGAGAGGCCGCUGGAAACUGCACGUCUGGAGUUUGGCAGAGGAAUGUGGAAUUCCGCAUGUAGCGGUGGAAUGCGUAGAUAUGCGGAAGACACCGUGGCGAAGGCGGCAUUCUGGGCCAAAACUGGACGCUGAGGAGCGAAAGCCAGGGGAGCAAACGGG